AGGCCGUCAGCCAGGAGCCUUUGGAGCCGGAACCAGUGUGACACCGUCGUCAUCACCGUAUUACAUCAUCCAAGUCCACGAGGAGUUUCUGUGCAACCAGAACGAACUCACCGGGCCAGGCUGCAAGUUUUUUAAAGAGAGGCCCCCAGGCUACUUUUGGGCCAGAAUCAUCUGGGGAUUCCUGUGCCUGACCCUGAAUCUUCCAAACCAGGUGUGAGGUGAGACCCGGAAAUCUGCACUCUGCCUGCGUGCCCCUGGGGACUCAUGCAAACUCACCCACAUUUCCGAACUGAACUACGGUUGAAAGCGACUGCCCCGACCUUUCCCUCAAUCCCCACCUCUGGUUCUCUGGUUCCCCGGCCCAGUCUUGCCCCUUGACCUGCCUGGAGAUUGGGUCUUGCUGUCCCUGUUCCCCUAAGCUUAUUGUCUGCCAUCAAAACUGCCCAUCCUGCUGUCCCCUCACUCUUUCUGUACUGUUUGUUGGUAGUGAGUGCCCACUCUAGGGGGUACCCACCCAGAGACAGAGGGGAGAGGAGACAGGUGCUCUGGUGGGAGAGGUGGAUUCCACGCUCACAGGAUAUUUGGAUUAAAAAAACCCCAAACUCC
Non-coding RNA from Vicugna pacos (alpaca), 606 nucleotides. NCBI's taxonomy places the organism in Eukaryota, Metazoa, Chordata, Mammalia, Artiodactyla, Camelidae. The record is from RefSeq and is a predicted model, not a curated record.